UUGGACCUACGGGACGCAGCAGUGAGGAAUAUUGGUCAAUGGGCGAGAGCCUGAACCAGCCAAGUCGCGUGAGGGAUGACUGCCCUAUGGGUUGUAAACCUCUUUUGUAUGGGGGGAAUAAGCUUUACGAGUAGAGUGAUGACAGUACCAUACGAAUAAGCAUCGGCUAACUCCGUGCCAGCAGCCGCGGUAAUACGGAGGAUGCGAGCGUUAUCCGGAUUUAUUGGGUUUAAAGGGUGCGUAGGCGGAAUGCCAAGUCAGCGGUAAAAUCGCGGGGCUCAACCUCGCUCCGCCGUUGAAACUGG
This 305-nucleotide ribosomal RNA is filed under the name uncultured bacterium. Its description in RNAcentral is "bacterial SSU rRNA". It matches the Rfam family "Bacterial small subunit ribosomal RNA", at positions 333 to 636 of the family's 1533-position model. The record is from RNAcentral.